AACGAACGCUGGCGGCAUGCCUAACACAUGCAAGUCGAACGAAGCCUUCGGGCUUAGUGGCGCACGGGUGCGUAACGCGUGGGAAUCUGCCCCUCGGUUCGGAAUAACAGUUAGAAAUGACUGCUAAUACCGGAUGAUGACGAAAGUCCAAAGAUUUAUCGCCGAGGGAUGAGCCCGCGUAGGAUUAGCUUGUUGGUGGGGUAAUGGCCCACCAAGGCGACGAUCCUUAGCUGGUCUGAGAGGAUGAUCAGCCACACUGGGACUGAGACACGGCCCAGACUCCUACGGGAGGCAGCAGUGGGGAAUAUUGGACAAUGGGCGAAAGCCUGAUCCAGCAAUGCCGCGUGAGUGAUGAAGGCCUUAGGGUUGUAAAGCUCUUUUACCAGGGAUGAUAAUGACAGUACCUGGAGAAUAAGCUCCGGCUAACUCCGUGCCAGCAGCCGCGGUAAGAGUCACGUCG
RNAcentral lists this ribosomal RNA (460 nucleotides) under uncultured bacterium. RNAcentral's name for it is "bacterial SSU rRNA". It matches the Rfam family "Bacterial small subunit ribosomal RNA", at positions 29 to 534 of the family's 1533-position model. The record is from RNAcentral.